UUAGGAAUAUUGGACAAUGGGCGCAAGCCUGAUCCAGCCAUGCCGCGUGAACGAUGAAGGCCUUCGGGUUGUAAAGUUCUUUAGCCGAUGAUUAUAAUGACUGUAGUCGGAAAAUAAGCCCCGGCUAACUUCGUGCCAGCAGCCGCGGUAAUACGAAGGGGGCGAGCGUUGUUCGGAAUCACUGGGCGUAAAGCGUGCGUAGGCUGUUUUGCAAGUUGGAAGUGAAAUCCCAAGGCUUAACCUUGGAAUUGCUUUCAAAACUGCAAGACUCGAAUUCGGGAGAGGAUAGCGGAAUUUCCAGUGUAGUAGUGAAAUACGUAGAUAUUGGAAGGAACACCAGUGGCGUAAGCGGCUAUCUGGACCGACAUUGACGCUGAGGCACGAAAGCGUGGGGAUCAAACAG
RNAcentral lists this ribosomal RNA (403 nucleotides) under uncultured bacterium. Its description in RNAcentral is "bacterial SSU rRNA". It matches the Rfam family "Bacterial small subunit ribosomal RNA", at positions 355 to 775 of the family's 1533-position model. The record is from RNAcentral.